GAGUUUGAUCCUGGCUCAGGAUGAACGCUAGCUACAGGCUUAACACAUGCAAGUCGAGGGGAAACGAUGAGAGAACUUGCUCUCUUAGGCGUCGACCGGCGCACGGGUGAGUAACGCGUAUCCAACCUGCCCAUUACAGGGGAAUAACCUUGCGAAAGUAAGACUAAUGCCCCAUGGUAUUCUCAGCAGACAUCUAAUGAGGAUUAAAGAUUUAUCGGUAAUGGAUGGGGAUGCGUCUGAUUAGCUUGUUGGCGGGGUAACGGCCCACCAAGGCAACGAUCAGUAGGGGUUCUGAGAGGAAGGUCCCCCACAUUGGAACUGAGACACGGUCCAAACUCCUACGGGAGGCAGCAGUGAGGAAUAUUGGUCAAUGGACGAGAGUCUGAACCAGCCAAGUAGCGUGCAGGAUGACGGCCCUAUGGGUUGUAAACUGCUUUUAUAGGGGAAUAAAGUGGACUACGUGUAGUUUAUUGUAUGUACCCUAUGAAUAAGGACCGGCUAAUUCCGUGCCAGCAGCCGCGGUAAUACGGAAGGUUCGGGCGUUAUCCGGAUUUAUUGGGUUUAAAGGGAGCGUAGGCCGUAGAUUAAGCGUGUUGUGAAAUGUAGAUGCUCAACAUCUGACUUGCAGCGCGAACUGGUUUACUAGAGUGUGCACAACGUAGGCGGAAUUCGUCGUGUAGCGGUGAAAUGCUUAGAUAUGACGAAGAACUCCGAUUGCGAAGGCAGCUUACGGGAGCACAACUGACGCUGAAGCUCGAAGGUGCGGGUAUCAAACAGGAUUAGAUACCCUGGUAGUCCGCACAGUAAACGCUGGAUGCCCGCUGUUGGCUCAUUAGAGUCAGCGGCCCAAGCGAAAGCAUUAAGCAUCCCACCUGGGGAAGUACGCCGGCACGGGUGAAAACUCAAAGGAAUGGACGGGGGCCCGCACAAGGCGGAGGAACAUGUGGUUUAAUUCGAUGAUACGCGAGGAACCUACCCCGGGCUGAAUUGCAGACGCACGCGGCAGAGAUGCCAAGGCCCUUCGGAGCGUCUGUGAAGGUGCUGCAUGGUGGUCGUCAGCUCGUGCCGUGAGGUGUCGGCUUAAGUGCCAUAACGAGCGCAACCCCUUUUCUUAGUUGCCAUCAGGUCAUGCUGGGCACUCUGGGAAUACUGCCACCGUAAGGUGUGAGGAAGGUGGGGAUGACGUCAAAUCAGCACGGCCCUUACGUCCGGGGCUACACACGUGUUACAAUGGCCGGUACAGAGGGCAGGUUGCAUGUAAAUGCGAUCGAAUCUUAAAAGCCGGUCCCAGUUCGGACUGAGGUCUGCAACCCGACCUCACGAAGCUGGAUUCGCUAGUAAUCGCGCAUCAGCCAUGGCGCGGUGAAUACGUUCCCGGGCCUUGACACACCGCCCGUCA
Molecule: ribosomal RNA, 1399 nt
Filed under: uncultured bacterium
Lineage: Bacteria
Description: 16S ribosomal RNA
Rfam family: Bacterial small subunit ribosomal RNA
Source: RNAcentral